This 253-nucleotide ribosomal RNA is filed under the name uncultured bacterium. Its description in RNAcentral is "partial 16S ribosomal RNA". It matches the Rfam family "Bacterial small subunit ribosomal RNA", at positions 524 to 776 of the family's 1533-position model. The record is from RNAcentral.
UACAGAGGGUGCUAGCGUUGUUCGGAAUUACUGGGCGUAAAGCGCGUGCAGGCGGAUUGAGAAGUCGGGUGUGAAAGCCCUGGGCCUAACCCAGGAAUUGCGCCCGAAACCAUCAAUCUGGAGUAUGGUAGAGGAGAGGGGAACUCCCGGUGUAGAGGUGAAAUUCGUAGAUAUCGGGAGGAACACCAGAGGCGAAAGCGCCUCUCUGGGCCAUCACUGACGCUGAGACGCGAAAGCGUGGGUAGCAAACAGU